Molecule: ribosomal RNA, 483 nt
Filed under: uncultured bacterium
Lineage: Bacteria
Description: partial 16S ribosomal RNA
Rfam family: Bacterial small subunit ribosomal RNA
Source: RNAcentral
AUUGAACGCUGGCGGCAGGCCUAACACAUGCAAGUCGAGCGGAUGAAGGGAGCUUGCUCCUGGAUUCAGCGGCGGACGGGUGAGUAAUGCCUAGGAAUCUGCCUGGUAGUGGGGGAUAACGUCCGGAAACGGGCGCUAAUACCGCAUACGUCCUGAGGGAGAAAGUGGGGGAUCUUCGGACCUCACGCUAUCAGAUGAGCCUAGGUCGGAUUAGCUAGUUGGUGGGGUAAAGGCCUACCAAGGCGACGAUCCGUAACUGGUCUGAGAGGAUGAUCAGUCGCACUGGAACUGAGACACGGUCCAGACUCCUACGGGAGGCAGCAGUGGGGAAUAUUGGACAAUGGGCGAAAGCCUGAUCCAGCCAUGCCGCGUGUGUGAAGAAGGUCUUCGGAUUGUAAAGCACUUUAAGUUGGGAGGAAGGGCAGUAAGUUAAUACCUUGCUGUUUUGACGUUACCAACAGAAUAAGCACCGGCUAACUUCGU